UACAGAGGUCUCAAGCGUUGUUCGGAUUUAUUGGGCGUAAAGGGCGCGUAGGCGGCGGGGUAAGUCGGGUGUGAAAUCUCAGGGCUCAACCCUGAAACUGCACUUGAUACUGCUCUGCUUGAGGACUGGAGGGGAGACUGGAAUUCACGGUGUAGCAGUGAAAUGCGUAGAUAUCGUGAGGAAGACCAGUGGCGAAGGCGGGUCUCUGGACAGUUCCUGACGCUGAGGCGCGAAGGCCAGGGGAGCAAACGGG
This 253-nucleotide ribosomal RNA is filed under the name uncultured bacterium. RNAcentral's name for it is "partial 16S ribosomal RNA". It matches the Rfam family "Bacterial small subunit ribosomal RNA", at positions 524 to 776 of the family's 1533-position model. The record is from RNAcentral.